This 531-nucleotide ribosomal RNA is filed under the name uncultured bacterium. RNAcentral describes it as "partial 16S ribosomal RNA". It matches the Rfam family "Bacterial small subunit ribosomal RNA", at positions 355 to 871 of the family's 1533-position model. The record is from RNAcentral.
UGGGGAAUUUUUGGACAAUGGGCGAAAGCCUGAUCCAGCAAUGCCGCGUGUGUGAAGAAGGCCUUCGGGUUGUAAAGCACUUUUGUCCGGAAAGAAAUCCUUGGCUCUAAUACAGUCGGGGGAUGACGGUACCGGAAGAAUAAGCACCGGCUAACUACGUGCCAGCAGCCGCGGUAAUACGUAGGGUGCAAGCGUUAAUCGGAAUUACUGGGCGUAAAGCGUGCGCAGGCGGUUUGCUAAGACCGAUGUGAAAUCCCCGGGCUCAACCUGGGAACUGCAUUGGUGACUGGCAGGCUAGAGUAUGGCAGAGGGGGGUAGAAUUCCACGUGUAGCAGUGAAAUGCGUAGGAGAUGUGGAGGAAUACCGAUGGCGAAAGGCAGCCCCCUGGGCCAAUACUGACGCUCAUGCACGAAAAGCGUGGGGGAGCAAAACAGGAUUAGAUACCCUGGUAGUCCACGCCCUAAAACGAUGUCAACUAGUUGUUGGGGGAUUCAUUUCCUUAGUAACGUAGCUAACGCGUGAAGUUGACCG